This is a long non-coding RNA of Daphnia pulicaria, 908 nucleotides long. RefSeq lists it as uncharacterized. The transcript has 3 exons. The record is from RefSeq and is a predicted model, not a curated record. Lineage: Eukaryota; Metazoa; Arthropoda; Branchiopoda; Diplostraca; Daphniidae.
UUCUAACCAUGGCCGAGCUACGUAUCUCUUCCUUCGUCUCCCUUUCUUUAAAUGUCCUCGUGUACACUUCAUGUGAGUGUGGGUGUAUUCACGAGGAUCCCCUUUUCUCCCUAUCCCGACUGGAGUAUUCAACUUUUCGGCGGAUGGAUGGAGCACUUGCUGGAUCUUGGUGGAUGUGGUGCCUGGCUGAAUUUCCCAGGCUCAAAGAACGUUAGGCCUAACUGCAUUACCGGUAGUCUUGGCAUUAGUACAACUGCUGUCGGCAAGUUUUUCAUCUCCAGUUGACCUCGGCGCGUAAAAUGCCGCUUUCGAAAAGAAAAGAAAUUGGUUGAAUGGCACUUGAAAAAUAUAGAUAAUCAUCAACGAAAACAUAAAUGUUAUGUUGGGAGUAGAAAAGAGAAUCGAUCCCGUUCGAGGACGUCUUCCUAACCGGAAUUUGUUAAAAAAGGGGAACAGCCUAGGUCAAGAAGCAAUAUUCUACACAGGCACUCACAGUGUCUUUUAUCGUCCUCUGCCAACCGUUCCGCCGCCGUGUGAUUUGCGAAAAUUCGUCGGGUGGCCGACCGACAAUCAAUUCGUCACCCACUCGGCCGUCGACAAUUUUUAUCGGAACAAGACCCAGUGCGUCGUCGCCGAAUCGGACGGAACCCAAAAAACAAUCGACUUCACCGCCCCCGUUGUCUUCAAGUUCACUUAGUCUGUUACACAAGACAAUGAAGACAAGAUUAAUUCCCUUUUGGAAAUAACGCUGAAAAAUCGUGGACAUACAUUGGCCUAAUAUAUUAGCAACAACAAUUCGACGCUUAAUUUCAACUAACACUAGAAUAUUAAUCAAUUGUCAUGUACAAGAGAACACUAAUAGUAAAAGAGACUUGCUUUAUUCGGUAUUAAUUGUUGUUCAUUAUUUU